RNAcentral lists this microRNA precursor (157 nucleotides) under Theobroma cacao (cacao). RNAcentral describes it as "miR399i stem-loop (tcc-MIR399i)". Its record names the gene tcc-MIR399i. Lineage: Eukaryota; Viridiplantae; Streptophyta; Magnoliopsida; Malvales; Malvaceae. The record is from miRBase by way of RNAcentral.
GUCAAUAAGCAAACCAGUCAAAGGGCACCUCUCCAUUGGCAGGUAAUAUUGUGAUUACUGCUGUAAUUAAUUAUGCAAAGUGGGACUCCCCGGCCCUGCACUUCAUUUCACAGACUUGCCAAAGGAGAGUUGCCCUGUGACAGAUUCAGCUUAAUGC